CUACAGGGGUAUCUAAUCCUGUUUGCUCCCCUAGCUUUCGCGCCUCAGCGUCAGUCGUGGCCCAGAAGGCCGCCUUCGCCACCGGUGUUCUUCCAAAUAUCUGCGCAUUCCACCGCUACACUUGGAAUUCCGCCUUCCCCUACCAGACUCAAGCCUGCCGGUAUCAGGAGCGGACGGGGGUUGAGCCCCCGGAUUUAACUCUUGACCUAACAGGCCGCCUACGCGCGCUUUACGCCCAAUGAAUCCGGAUAACGCUCGCCCCCUACGUAUUACCGCGGCUGCUGGCAC
Molecule: ribosomal RNA, 288 nt
Filed under: uncultured Coriobacteriaceae bacterium
Lineage: Bacteria; Bacillati; Actinomycetota; Coriobacteriia; Coriobacteriales; Coriobacteriaceae
Description: partial 16S ribosomal RNA
Source: RNAcentral